AGAGAGAGACAUGCGCGCAUAUCAAUAAGCGGAGGAAAAGAAACUAACAAGGAUUCCCUUAGUAACGGCGAGUGAAGCGGGAAGAGCUCAAAUUUGAGAUCUUCAAGGUUCUACCUUGACGAAUUGUAGUUUAAAGAAGUGUUUUCUGUUAGUGGAGUGGCAAAAGUUCUUCGGAAUAGGACAUCAUAGAGGGUGAGAAUCCCGUAUUUGGUCAUUCCUUCUAGCUUUGUGAUACACUUUCAAAGAGUCGGAUUGUUUGGGAAUGCAGUCCAAAAUGGGUGGUAAAUUUCAUCUAAAGCUAAAUAUUGGCGAGAGACCGAUAGCGAACAAGUACCGUGAGGGAAAGAUGAAAAGAACUUUGAAAAGAGAGUUAAACAGUACGUGAAAUUGUCAAAAGGGAAGCGUUUGACACCAGUGUUGUUUUCUCGAAAAUCAAUCAAAAAAGGCCGGAUUUUGUGUUGUAUUGACCUUAAAAGCUUUCUUCACUCUUUUCUUGUCUUUUUUAAUGCACCUUUCGUUUAACAAGUCAACAUCAGUUUCUUUUGUUGUAAAAGGGUCAUUGGAAGGUGGCUUUCCUUUCGGAGAAAGUGUUUAUAGCCUUUGCUCUCUGCAAUCGGAGAGAUUGAGGUCUGCAGCGUAGAUCCUUCGGGGUUAGAUACAUUUGUGCUAAGUUAUAGCCUUUCAUAGACAACUUGUUGACUAUGUAUCAGUCAUGUAGCUUACUCGCUUAUGCUAUUUUACCUACGCUUAGGAUGUUGACAGCAGUAUAGACUGU
Molecule: ribosomal RNA, 775 nt
Filed under: uncultured Neocallimastigales
Lineage: Eukaryota; Fungi; Neocallimastigomycota; Neocallimastigomycetes; Neocallimastigales
Description: partial large subunit ribosomal RNA
Rfam family: Eukaryotic large subunit ribosomal RNA
Source: RNAcentral